UCAUCAGUAGCUUAGUGGUAGAGCGGUUGGUUGUUAACCGAUUGGUCGUAGGUUCGAAUCCUACUUGGGGAG
This is a non-coding RNA of Solanum lycopersicum (tomato), 72 nucleotides long. The record is from Rfam. NCBI's taxonomy places the organism in Eukaryota, Viridiplantae, Streptophyta, Magnoliopsida, Solanales, Solanaceae.